Molecule: ribosomal RNA, 1104 nt
Filed under: Staphylococcus aureus
Lineage: Bacteria; Bacillati; Bacillota; Bacilli; Caryophanales; Staphylococcaceae
Description: bacterial SSU rRNA
Rfam family: Bacterial small subunit ribosomal RNA
Source: RNAcentral
UGUUAUAGAUGGAUCCGCGCUGCAUUAGCUAGUUGGUAAGGUAACGGCUUACCAAGGCAACGAUACGUAGCCGACCUGAGAGGGUGAUCGGCCACACUGGAACUGAGACACGGUCCAGACUCCUACGGGAGGCAGCAGUAGGGAAUCUUCCGCAAUGGGCGAAAGCCUGACGGAGCAACGCCGCGUGAGUGAUGAAGGUCUUCGGAUCGUAAAACUCUGUUAUUAGGGAAGAACAUAUGUGUAAGUAACUGUGCACAUCUUGACGGUACCUAAUCAGAAAGCCACGGCUAACUACGUGCCAGCAGCCGCCCUAAUACGUAGGUGGCAAGCGUUAUCCGGAAUUAUUGGGCGUAAAGCGCGCGUAGGCGGUUUUUUAAGUCUGAUGUGAAAGCCCACGGCUCAACCGUGGAGGGUCAUUGGAAACUGGAAAACGUGAGUGCAGAAGAGGAAAGUGGAAUUCCAUGUGUAGCGGUGAAAUGCGCAGAGAUAUGGAGGAACACCAGUGGCGAAGGCGACUUUCUGGUCUGUAACUGACGCUGAUGUGCGAAAGCGUGGGGAUCAAACAGGAUUAGAUACCCUGGUAGUCCACGCCGUAAACGAUGAGUGCUAAGUGUUAGGGGGUUUCCGCCCNUUAGUGCUGCAGCUAACGCAUUAAGCACUCCGCCUGGGGAGUACGACCGCAAGGAGAAACUCAAAGGAAUUGACGGGGACCCGCACAAGCGGUGGAGCAUGUGGUUUAAUUCGAAGCAACGCGAAGAACCUUACCAAAUCUUGGGACAUCCUUUGACAACUCUAGAGAUAGAGCCUUCCCCUUCGGGGGACAAAGUGACAGGUGGUGCAUGGUUGUCGUCAGCUCGUGUCGUGAGAUGUUGGGUUAAGUCCCGCAACGAGCGCAACCCUUAAGCUUAGUUGCCAUCAUUAAGUUGGGCACUCUAAGUUGACUGCCGGUGACAAACCGGAGGAAGGUGGGGAUGACGUCAAAUCAUCAUGCCCCUUAUGAUUUGGGCUACACACGUGCUACAAUGGACAAUACAAAGGGCAGCGAAACCGCGAGGUCAAGCAAAUCCCAUAAAGUUGUUCUCAGUUCGGAUUGUAGUCUGCAAC